GGGAUAUAGCUCAGAUGGUAGAGCGCUUGAAUGGCAUUCAAGAGGUCAGGGGUUCGAUUCCCCUUAUCUCC
RNAcentral lists this transfer RNA (71 nucleotides) under bovine gut metagenome. It matches the Rfam family "tRNA". Rfam says of the family: Transfer RNA (tRNA) molecules are approximately 80 nucleotides in length. Their secondary structure includes four short double-helical elements and three loops (D, anti-codon, and T loops). The record is from RNAcentral.